GCAUAUCAAUAAGCGGAGGAAAAGAAACUAACAAGGAUUCCCCUAGUAACUGCGAGUGAAGCGGGAAGAGCUCAAAUUUGGAAUCUGGCGGCCCCGCCGUCCGAGUUGUAAUCUGGAGAAGCGYUUUCCGUGCCGGGCCGCGUACAAGUCCCUUGGAACAGGGCGUCACAGAGGGUGAGAAUCCCGUCUUCGACGCGGGCUGCCGGCGCUCUGCGAUGCGCUCUCGAAGAGUCGAGUUGUUUGGGAAUGCAGCUCAAAACGGGUGGUAAAUUCCAUCUAAAGCUAAAUAUUGGCGAGAGACCGAUAGCGAACAAGUACCGUGAGGGAAAGAUGAAAAGCACUUUGGAAAGAGAGUAAAACAGUACGUGAAAUUGUUGAAAGGGAAACGCUUGGAGUCAGUCGCGUCUUCCGGAACUCAGCCGCGCUCCCGCGCGGUGCACUUUCCGGCUCGACGGGUCAGCAUCGGCUUCGGGGGGCGGACAAGGGCGCGGGGAAGGUGGCAGCUCCGGCUGUGUUAUAGCCCCGCGUCGCGCGCGUCCCCCGGGACCGAGGAAUCCGGCGCUCGCCGCCCGGGAUGCUGGCGUAAUGGCUUUAAACGACCCGUCUUGAAACACGGACCA
RNAcentral lists this ribosomal RNA (620 nucleotides) under Subulicystidium harpagum. RNAcentral's name for it is "LSU rRNA". It matches the Rfam family "Eukaryotic large subunit ribosomal RNA", at positions 38 to 668 of the family's 3401-position model. The record is from RNAcentral. Lineage: Eukaryota; Fungi; Basidiomycota; Agaricomycetes; Trechisporales; Hydnodontaceae.